UCAUCAUGUUACACUCUGUUAGCUGUCCUCAUAACAAUCUGAUUUCCUGCUCCUUGUAACACUAUGUCUGUUGGUUACAAAUGCUGUCUAUCGUGUAUCCAAUAUACAAAUGUACGAGAUGGAAGGAAGAGAAGAAACAUGAUGUGGAUGGUAGUCAAACUUGAGCAGCCACAGUAGCCAAGACUAAA
This 188-nucleotide long non-coding RNA is filed under the name Mustela putorius furo (domestic ferret). Its description in RNAcentral is "lncRNA (ENSMPUG00000030902.1)". Lineage: Eukaryota; Metazoa; Chordata; Mammalia; Carnivora; Mustelidae. The record is from RNAcentral.